Molecule: small nuclear RNA, 313 nt
Filed under: Sarcophilus harrisii (Tasmanian devil)
Lineage: Eukaryota; Metazoa; Chordata; Mammalia; Dasyuromorphia; Dasyuridae
Description: 7SK RNA
Rfam family: 7SK RNA (bases 1-281)
About the family: 7SK was discovered as an abundant small nuclear RNA in the mid-70s but a possible function has only recently been suggested.
Source: Rfam by way of RNAcentral
GGUUGAGGGCGAUCUGGCUGCGACAUCUGUCACCCCAUUGAUCGCCAGGGUUGAUUCGGCUGAUCUGGCUGGCUAGGCGGGUGUCCCCUUCCUCCCUCACCGCUCCAUGUGCGUCCCUCCCGAAGCUGCGCGCUCGGUCGAAGAGGACGACCUUCCCCGAUAGAGGCGUACCGUUCUUCGGUCAAGGGUAUACGAGUAGCUGCGCUCCCCUGCUAGAACAAGCUCCCAAGGUCCAAAAAUAUGCAGUUUCAUAGAAACCAGAGUAAGAAUCUGCUUAUUCUUUAGGAUAGAUCAUUAUUGUUUCCUAUAUAGA